UAUCUCUGUAGAGUCUGCAUAUCAAUAAGCGGAGGAAAAGAAACUAACUAGGAUUCCCUCAGUAACGGCGAGUGAAGCGGGAAGAGCUCAAAUUUGAAAUCUUCAAGGUUUUACCUUGACGAAUUGUAGUUUAAAGAAGUGUUUUCUGUUGGAGUUUUGGUAAAAGUUCUUUGGAAUAGGACAUCAUAGAGGGUGAGAAUCCCGUAUUUGACCAUUAUUUCCAGCUUUGUGAUACACUUUCAAAGAGUCGGAUUGUUUGGGAAUGCAGUCCAAAAUGGGUGGUAAAUUUCAUCUAAAGCUAAAUACUGGCGAGAGACCGAUAGCGAACAAGUACCGUGAGGGAAAGAUGAAAAGAACUUUGAAAAGAGAGUUAAACAGUACGUGAAAUUGUCAAAAGGGAAGCGUUUGACACCAGUGUUGUUUUCUCGAAAAUCAAUUAAAAAUGGUGGGAUUUUGUGUUGUAUUGACUUUAUCGGCUUUCUGCACUCUUUUCCUGUCUUUUUUAAUGCACUUUUCGUUUAACAAGUCAACAUCAAUUUCUUUUGUUGUAAAAGAGUCAUUGGAAGGUGGCUUUCUUUUCGGAGAAAGUGUUUAUAGCCUUUGGCUUCUGCAAUCGGAGAGAUUGAGGUCUGCAGCGUAGAUCCUUCGGGGUUAGAUACAUUUGUGCUAAGUUAUAGCCUUUCAUAGACAACUUGUUGACUAUGAUCAGUCAUGUAGCUUACUCGCUUAUGCUAUUUUACCUACGCUUAGGAUGUUGAGUCAUCACACAUCUCU
This 774-nucleotide ribosomal RNA is filed under the name uncultured Neocallimastigales. RNAcentral's name for it is "partial large subunit ribosomal RNA". It matches the Rfam family "Eukaryotic large subunit ribosomal RNA", at positions 24 to 614 of the family's 3401-position model. The record is from RNAcentral. Lineage: Eukaryota; Fungi; Neocallimastigomycota; Neocallimastigomycetes; Neocallimastigales.